UCGGAUGGUGGCGACCGGAGCACGGGUGAGUAACGCGUAUGCAACCUACCUGUAACUGGGGGAUAGCUCCCUGAAAGGGGAAUUAACACCGCAUAAGACCACGCUUUCGCAUGGAAGAGUGGUAAAAUAUUUAUAGGUUACAGAUGGGCAUGCGUGACAUUAGUUUGUUGGUGAGGUAACGGCUCACCAAGACUACGAUGUCUAGGGGUUCUGAGAGGAAGGUCCCCCACACUGGUACUGAGACACGGACCAGACUCCUACGGGAGGCAGCAGUGAGGAAUAUUGGUCAAUGGGCGCAAGCCUGAACCAGCCAUGUCGCGUGCAGGAAGACGGCCCUAUGGGUUGUAAACUGCUUUUGUAUGGGAAGAAAUUGUUCGACGUGUCGGACAUUGCCGGUACCAUACGAAUAAGGAUCGGCUAACUCCGUGCCAGCAGCCGCGGUAAUACGGAGGAUCCGAGCGUUAUCCGGAUUUAUUGGGUUUAAAGGGUGCGUAGGCGGAAUGGUAAGUCAGAGGUGAAAUCCUGCAGCUCAACUGUAGAAUAGCCUUUGAAACUGUCAUUCUUGAGUACAUUUGAGGUAGGCGGAAUGUGGUGUGUAGCGGUGAAAUGCAUAGAUAUACCACAGAACACCGAUUGCGAAGGCAGCUUACUAAACUGUAACUGACGCUGAGGCACGAAAGCGUGGGUAUCAAACAGGAUUAGAUACCCUGGUAGUCCACGCUGUAAACGAUGAUUACUGGUUGUUUGCGAUACACAGCAAGUGACUGAGGGAAACCAUUAAGUAAUCCACCUGGGGAGUACGUCGGCAACGAUGAAACUCAAAGGAAUUGACGGGGG
RNAcentral lists this ribosomal RNA (837 nucleotides) under Rikenellaceae bacterium 4-1-11. Its description in RNAcentral is "bacterial SSU rRNA". It matches the Rfam family "Bacterial small subunit ribosomal RNA", at positions 80 to 919 of the family's 1533-position model. Lineage: Bacteria; Pseudomonadati; Bacteroidota; Bacteroidia; Bacteroidales; Rikenellaceae. The record is from RNAcentral.